RNAcentral lists this ribosomal RNA (492 nucleotides) under uncultured bacterium. RNAcentral's name for it is "partial 16S ribosomal RNA". It matches the Rfam family "Bacterial small subunit ribosomal RNA", at positions 29 to 507 of the family's 1533-position model. The record is from RNAcentral.
AGUGAACGCUGGCGGUAGGCCUAACACAUGCAAGUCGAACGGCAGCACAGUAAGAUCUUGCUCUUACGGGUGGCGAGUGGCGGACGGGUGAGGAAUACAUCGGAAUCUACUUUUUCGUGGGGGAUAACGUAGGGAAACUUACGCUAAUACCGCAUACGACCUACGGGUGAAAGCAGUGGAUCUUCGGACCUUUCGCGAUUGAAUGAGCCGAUGUCGGAUUAGCUAGUUGGCGGGGUAAAGGCCCACCAAGGCGACGAUCCGUAGCUGGUCUGAGAGGAUGAUCAGCCACACUGGAACUAAGACACGGUCCAGACUCCUACGGGAGGCAGCAGUGGGGAAUAUUGGACAAUGGGCGCAAGCCUGAUCCAGCCAUACCGCGUGGGUGAAGAAGGCCUUCGGGUUGUAAAGCCCUGUUGUUGGGAAAGAACAGCAGCAGGUUAAUACCCCGCUGUUCUGACGGUACCCAAAGAAUAAGCACCGGCUAACUUCGUG